Molecule: ribosomal RNA, 402 nt
Filed under: bacterium
Lineage: Bacteria
Description: partial 16S ribosomal RNA
Rfam family: Bacterial small subunit ribosomal RNA
Source: RNAcentral
UGGGGAAUUUUGCACAAUGGGGGAAACCCUGAUGCAGCGACGCCGCGUGAUUUAGAAGGCCUUCGGGUUGUAAAAAUCUUUUCUAUGGGAAGAAAAUGACAGUACCAUAGGAAUAAGGACCGGCUAAUUACGUGCCAGCAGCCGCGGUAAUACGUAAGGUCCGAGCGUUGUCCGGAAUCAUUGGGCGUAAAGGGUACGUAGGCGGGUAAGCAAGUUAGAAGUGAAAUCCUAUAGCUCAACUAUAGUAAGCUUUUAAAACUGCUCAUCUUGAGGUAUGGAAGGGAAAGUGGAAUUCCUAGUGUAGCGGUGAAAUGCGCAGAUAUUAGGAGGAAUACCGGUGGCGAAGGCGCCUUUCUGGCCAUAACCUGACGCUGAGGUACGAAAGCGUGGGUAGCAAACAGG